CCGCCAGACUCCUACGGGAGGCAGCAGUGGGGAAUAUUGCGCAAUGGGCGAAAGCCUGACGCAGCGACGCCGCGUGAGGGAUGAAGGUUUUCGGAUCGUAAACCUCUGUCAGAAGGGAAGAAAGUGCGUGGUGCUAAUCAGCCGCGUAUUGACGGUACCUUCAAAGGAAGCACCGGCUAACUCCGUGCCAGCAGCCGCGGUAAUACGGAGGGUGCGAGCGUUAUCCGGAUUUAUUGGGUUUAAAGGGUGCGCAGGCGGGAGAUCAAGUCAGCGGUAAAAUGUCGGGGCUCAACCCCGGCCGGCCGUUGAAACUGGUUUUCUAGAGUUGGAGAGAAGUAUGCGGAAUUCGUGGUGUAGCGGUGAAAUGCAUAGAUAUCACGAAGAACUCCGAUUGCGAAGGCAGCAUACCGGCUCCAUACUGACGCUGAGGCACGAAAGCGUGGGGAUCGAACAGGAUUAGAUACCCGUGUAUG
This 473-nucleotide ribosomal RNA is filed under the name uncultured bacterium. Its description in RNAcentral is "bacterial SSU rRNA". It matches the Rfam family "Bacterial small subunit ribosomal RNA", at positions 328 to 793 of the family's 1533-position model. The record is from RNAcentral.